AGAGUUUGAUCAUGGCUCAGAUUGAACGCUGGCGGCAUGCCUUACACUUGCAAGUCGAACGGCAGCACGGGAGCAAUCCUGGUGGCGAGUGGCGAACGGGUGAGUAAUAUAUCGGAACGUGCCCAGUCGUGGGGGAUAACGCAGCGAAAGCUGUGCUAAUACCGCAUACGAUCUAUGGAUGAAAGCGGGGGACUCGCAAGAGCCUCGCGCGAUUGGAGCGGCCGAUAUCAGAUUAGCUUGUUGGUGGGGUAAAAGCCCACCAAGGCGACGAUCUGUAGCUGGUCUGAGAGGACGACCAGCCACACUGGAACUGAGACACGGUCCAGACUCCUACGGGAGGCAGCAGUGGGGAAUUUUGGACAAUGGGCGCAAGCCUGAUCCAGCAAUGCCGCGUGCAGGAUGAAGGCCUUCGGGUUGUAAACUGCUUUUGUACGGAACGAAACGGCUCUUUCUAAUAAAGAGGGCUAAUGACGGUACCGUAAGAAUAAGCACCGGCUAACUACGUGCCAGCAGCCGCGGUAAUACGUAGGGUGCGAGCGUUAAUCGGAAUUACUGGGCGUAAAGCGUGCGCAGGCGGUUAUAUAAGACAGAUGUGAAAUCCCCGGGCUCAACCUGGGACCUGCAUUUGUGACUGUAUAGCUAGAGUACGGUAGAGGGGGAUGGAAUUCCGCGUGCAGCAGUGAAAUGCGUAGAUAUGCGGAGGAACACCGAUGGCGAAGGCAAUCCCCUGGACCUGUACUGACGCUCAUGCACGAAAGCGUGGGGAGCAAACAGGAUUAGAUACCCUGGUAGUCCACGCCCUAAACGAUGUCAACUGGUUGUUGGGUCUUCACUGACUCAGUAACGAAGCUAACGCGUGAAGUUGACCGCCUGGGGAGUACGGCCGCAAGGUUGAAACUCAAGGAAUUGACGGGGACCCGCACAA
Molecule: ribosomal RNA, 925 nt
Filed under: uncultured bacterium
Lineage: Bacteria
Description: bacterial SSU rRNA
Rfam family: Bacterial small subunit ribosomal RNA
Source: RNAcentral